Molecule: non-coding RNA, 73 nt
Organism: Potamilus streckersoni
Lineage: Eukaryota; Metazoa; Mollusca; Bivalvia; Unionida; Unionidae
Source: the annotation of a GenBank genome assembly
GCCCGGUUAGCUCAAUCGGUAGAGCACGAGACUCUUAAUUCCGGAGUCGUGGGUUAGAGCCCCACAUCGGGUG